RNAcentral lists this long non-coding RNA (283 nucleotides) under Solanum tuberosum (potato). RNAcentral describes it as "long non-coding RNA (STUB_LNC008445)". Lineage: Eukaryota; Viridiplantae; Streptophyta; Magnoliopsida; Solanales; Solanaceae. The record is from RNAcentral.
UAAAAGACAAUCAUGCUUAUUUGUUUAAAUUUGAAGGAUAUAUACGUUAUUUGAAAAAUCAUUGUCCUCUAGGGUAAGAGGUAGAUUAUAGCUUAUUCUAGCCGAAGGAAUAGCUUCACAAGCUACUAGUCCAUCCAAAGGAGUCGACACUCGAAGAUGACAAGAAAUUCAAGAACGAAGGUCCUUCCAUUGAAGCAUAGUUUAAGAUUGUACCCCUGCGCGGGACUGAUUAUUUUGUAUCCCAUUUUCCCUACUAUGUAUCCCCAUUCAGUUUAUUAGCAUG